GAUGAACGCUAGCUACAGGCUUAACACAUGCAAGUCGAGGGGCAGCAUGGUCUUAGCUUGCUAAGGCCGAUGGCGACCGGCGCACGGGUGAGUAACACGUAUCCAACCUGCCGUCUACUCUUGGACAGCCUUCUGAAAGGAAGAUUAAUACAAGAUGGCAUCAUGAGUCCACAUGUUCACAUGAUUAAAGGUAUUCCGGUAGACGAUGGGGAUGCGUUCCAUUAGAUAGUAGGCGGGGUAACGGCCCACCUAGUCUUCGAUGGAUAGGGGUUCUGAGAGGAAGGUCCCCCACAUUGGAACUGAGACACGGUCCAAACUCCUACGGGAGGCAGCAGUGAGGAAUAUUGGUCAAUGGGCGAGAGCCUGAACCAGCCAAGUAGCGUGAAGGAUGACUGCCCUAUGGGUUGUAAACUUCUUUUAUAAAGGAAUAAAGUCGGGUAUGGAUACCCGUUUGCAUGUACUUUAUGAAUAAGGAUCGGCUAACUCCGUGCCAGCAGCCGCGGUAAUACGGAGGAUCCGAGCGUUAUCCGGAUUUAUUGGGUUUAAAGGGAGCGUAGAUGGAUGUUUAAGUCAGUUGUGAAAGUUUGCGGCUCAACCGUAAAAUUGCAGUUGAUACUGGAUAUCUUGAGUGCAGUUGAGGCAGGCGGAAUUCGUGGUGUAGCGGUGAAAUGCUUAGAUAUCACGAAGAACUCCGAUUGCGAAGGCAGCCUGCUAAGCUGCAACUGACAUUGAGGCUCGAAAGUGUGGGUAUCAAACAGGAUUAGAUACCCUGGUAGUCCACACGGUAAACGAUGAAUACUCGCUGUUUGCGAUAUACAGCAAGCGGCCAAGCGAAAGCGUUAAGUAUUCCACCUGGGGAGUACGCCGGCAACGGUGAAACUCAAAGGAAUUGACGGGGGCCCGCACAAGCGGAGGAACAUGUGGUUUAAUUCGAUGAUACGCGAGGAACCUUACCCGGGCUUAAAUUGCAGAUGAAUUACGGUGAAAGCCGUAAGCCGCAAGGCAUCUGUGAAGGUGCUGCAUGGUUGUCGUCAGCUCGUGCCGUGAGGUGUCGGCUUAAGUGCCAUAACGAGCGCAACCCUUGUCGUCAGUUACUAACAGGUUCCGCUGAGGACUCUGACAAGACUGCCAUCGUAAGAUGUGAGGAAGGUGGGGAUGACGUCAAAUCAGCACGGCCCUUACGUCCGGGGCUACACACGUGUUACAAUGGGGGGUACAGAGGGCCGCUACCACGCGAGUGGAUGCCAAUCCCAAAAACCUCUCUCAGUUCGGACUGGAGUCUGCAACCCGACUCCACGAAGCUGGAUUCGCUAGUAAUCGCGCAUCAGCCACGGCGCGGUGAAUACGUUCCCGGGCCU
This 1358-nucleotide ribosomal RNA is filed under the name uncultured bacterium. RNAcentral describes it as "bacterial SSU rRNA". It matches the Rfam family "Bacterial small subunit ribosomal RNA", at positions 28 to 1381 of the family's 1533-position model. The record is from RNAcentral.